CGCGAGUCGCUUCUGGGGAAGCGUACUGGCGAGGUGCUUCGGCUGGGGCUAGGAGGCUCGACCGCGUGCCCCGGAGGGCAGGAGCGGUGGAGAGACCGGCGCGCGGGGGGCUGGGGCGCGGCGGCCCCGCGCGAGCUGCUUCUGCCUGAGCGUGCGGCAGGGACGGAUGGUGCUGUUUAUUACCCGAACUCUUCCUCAGAUUUUAAGAUUCAGUAUCGUUGCAUUCUUGCCCUCAUUCAUCUGCUCAUGAAAAACAAAGCCAAUUAUUUCAAAGACAAGCCUCAGGACCCGGCUCAGCCUGUUUUUCCCUUUGACUGACUUAGGUGUAUUUUCAGUUGCAAGUAAUAAAAAACCAACUUUUAAAUGGAUU
Molecule: long non-coding RNA, 370 nt
Filed under: Cavia porcellus (domestic guinea pig)
Lineage: Eukaryota; Metazoa; Chordata; Mammalia; Rodentia; Caviidae
Description: lncRNA (ENSCPOG00000031920.1)
Source: RNAcentral